RNAcentral lists this transfer RNA (73 nucleotides) under Halobacteriales archaeon QS_4_69_225. Its description in RNAcentral is "tRNA-His". It matches the Rfam family "tRNA". From Rfam's summary of the family: Transfer RNA (tRNA) molecules are approximately 80 nucleotides in length. Their secondary structure includes four short double-helical elements and three loops (D, anti-codon, and T loops). Lineage: Archaea; Methanobacteriati; Methanobacteriota; Halobacteria; Halobacteriales. The record is from RNAcentral.
GUCCGGGCUGGGGUAGUGGCAUCCUGUAGCCCUGUGGCGGCUAAGACGCGGAUUCGAUCUCCGCGCCCGGACU